Molecule: ribosomal RNA, 253 nt
Filed under: uncultured bacterium
Lineage: Bacteria
Description: partial 16S ribosomal RNA
Rfam family: Bacterial small subunit ribosomal RNA
Source: RNAcentral
GACAGAGGCCUCGAGCGUUAGGCGGAAUCACUGGGCUUAAAGCGUGUGUAGGCGGAUCGUUAAGUACCUUGUGAAAUCCCACGGCUCAACCGUGGAACGGCUGGGUAUACUGGCGGUCUUGGGCCAUUCAGGGGCGACUGGAACAAGCGGUGGAGCGGUGAAAUGCGUAGAUAUCGUUUGGAACGCCAAUGGUGAAAACAGACAGCUGGGAGUGUGCUGACGCUGAGACACGAAAGCCAGGGGAGCGAACGGG